GUGAUAGAAUGGGACUUAUUGCAAGUGAUUGACAUCUACAAUUAAACAGAACAAAGCAUUUGAAUUUUAAUGUUUUACAAAAAAAAAAUAUUAACUCAGAUCAAAUAAUAACCCCAAAUUCCAUAUAUAAGUAAGCACAAAUAUGGAAUUGUUCAAGCCACAAUCAAUAGGCACCAAACAGAUUCCAUAGGCUCUGAUUGACAAAUUGAAAGAAGAUGGAUAGUCUUGUCUUUU
This 234-nucleotide unclassified non-coding RNA is filed under the name Hevea brasiliensis (rubber tree). The record is from RNAcentral. Lineage: Eukaryota; Viridiplantae; Streptophyta; Magnoliopsida; Malpighiales; Euphorbiaceae.